UACGUAGGGACCAAGCGUUGUUCGGAUUUACUGGGCGUAAAGGGCGCGUAGGCGGCAUGACAAGUCACUUGUGAAAUCUCCGGGCUUAACUCGGAACGGUCAAGUGAUACUGUCGCGCUAGAGUGCGGAAGGGGCAAUCAGAAUUCUUGGUGUAGCGGUGAAAUGCGUAGAUAUCAAGAGGAACACCGGUGGCGAAGGCGGGUCUCUGGGCCGAUACUGACGCUGAGGAGCGAAAGCGUGGGGAGCGAACAGG
This 253-nucleotide ribosomal RNA is filed under the name uncultured bacterium. RNAcentral's name for it is "partial 16S ribosomal RNA". It matches the Rfam family "Bacterial small subunit ribosomal RNA", at positions 524 to 776 of the family's 1533-position model. The record is from RNAcentral.